Long non-coding RNA from Sinocyclocheilus grahami, 462 nucleotides. The record is from Ensembl. Lineage: Eukaryota; Metazoa; Chordata; Actinopteri; Cypriniformes; Cyprinidae.
GUUUAAGCGCGAGCUGCUCGAGUUUCUGCACACGUCCACGCAUGGGGACCAACGACAGACUCGAUCGUAGCAGUCCUCGGAGUAGUAGCACUGGAUACUUGGCAGGAAUCUGGAGAACAAGUUGUGCACUUGAGCGUCAGAUCACUCGAGCCAAAAGCCAACGGCUGUUUGUAAAUAAUUGACAUCAGUACUUUACGUGACAUAGAUGCGAGUUAACGCGAUUCUCGGGAAUAGUUCGUGGUUUGAACAAAUGCAUUGCUGCAAAGACCUCUGCCUUUACCAGUUUUUGACAUUUACUUGUGGAUUAGAUACUAUGGAGAUAUGGAUCACCUCAAGUUUGGAAAAGGAGACCUUGGAAAUCAGUGAUAAAACACGGAAAUGAACUGACCUCAGAUCAGGAGUCGGAAGACGAGUGGAGAGUGGGAGUAGCGAUAGUGGUGGAGGAGUGAACCCGGAGCAGGU